This 67-nucleotide transfer RNA is filed under the name Schistosoma mansoni. Lineage: Eukaryota; Metazoa; Platyhelminthes; Trematoda; Strigeidida; Schistosomatidae. The record is from RNAcentral.
UCAGUGGCCGAGGGGAUAACGCGAUGGCGUUUGAAGCGAAAGGUACUGGGUUCGAGUCCCAGGGUGA